RNAcentral lists this long non-coding RNA (514 nucleotides) under Fukomys damarensis (Damara mole-rat). Its description in RNAcentral is "lncRNA (ENSFDAG00000028923.1)". The record is from RNAcentral. Lineage: Eukaryota; Metazoa; Chordata; Mammalia; Rodentia; Bathyergidae.
AUGCCUCUUUUGACAGGGGUAUCAGGAUUCAGCAGUACCAAUAAGAUGAAAGAAGAGAGAAGAAACCUUCAUAAAAUCACCUAUAGACCUGUUGAUUGUGGCAUGCCAAAAGGAACACCACCACCACCAGCAGCAGCUGUAAAAGCUGACACACAAACCGAGCCUCACGUCAAACCUUCUUGUGUCUACAACACUAAGUGGAAAGGGAAGAGCACUGAGAAUCUGCGAGAGAGCAUCUGUGGACAAGGUGAGGAGUGUAUAAUCAUUAGUAUGACUGGACCAUGACUUCAGGACCUUCCAGGACUAGCAGAGAGAUGGGUAAAAGCAAGAAAGGUGUGUGGCAUGGGCAAUCCAGUAAUGUACCCACUGUGCCAUAGGUUCCUCUUACACCAGCCUUGCCAGGCUCUAAGAUGAGCCUGAGGGAAAAGAAUAAAAUAGCAGCCAGUCAUGCAUGCAUGCCCACAUGUAUGCUGACAUGUAUGCAAAUGGUGUACCACAUAGAAUGGAGUCAGGG